AUUGAACGCUGGCGGCAGGCCUAACACAUGCAAGUCGAACGGUAACAGGAAGAAGCUUGCUUCUUUGCUGACGAGUGGCGGACGGGUGAGUAAUGUCUGGGAAACUGCCUGAUGGAGGGGGAUAACUACUGGAAACGGUAGCUAAUACCGCAUAACGUCGCAAGACCAAAAAGGGGGACCUUCGGGCCUCUUGCCAUCGGAUGUGCCCAGAUGGGAUUAGCUAGUAGGUGGGGUAACGGCUCACCUAGGCGACGAUCCCUAGCUGGUCUGAGAGGAUGACCAGCCAUACUGGAACUGAGACACGGUCCAGACUCCUACGGGAGGCAGCAGUGGGGAAUAUUGCACAAUGGGCGCAAGCCUGAUGCAGCCAUGCCGCGUGUAUGAAGAAGGCCUUCGGGUUGUAAAGUACUUUCAGCGGGGAGGAAGGGAGUAAAGUUAAUACCUUUGCUCAUUGACGUUACCCGCAGAAGAAGCACCGGCUAACUCCGU
RNAcentral lists this ribosomal RNA (489 nucleotides) under uncultured bacterium. RNAcentral's name for it is "partial 16S ribosomal RNA". It matches the Rfam family "Bacterial small subunit ribosomal RNA", at positions 30 to 506 of the family's 1533-position model. The record is from RNAcentral.